CUACGGGAUGCACCAGUGGGGAAUAUUGCACAAUGGGGGAAACCCUGAUGCAGCGACGCCGCGUGAAGGAUGAAGGUUUUCGGAUCGUAAACUUCUUUGAUCGGGGACGAAUAAUGACGGUACCCGAAAAACAGGCCACGGCUAACUACGUGCCAGCAGCUCGCGGUAAUACGUAGGUGGCAAGCGUUGUCCGGAUUUACUGGGUGGAAAGAGCAUGUAGGCGGGAAUACAAGUCAGAUGUGAAAUGCUGCAGCUUAACUGCAGCCCUGCAUCUGAAACUGUAUUUCUUGAGUAUUGGAGAGGAAAGCGGAAUUCCUAGUGUAGCGGUGAAAUGCGUAGAUAUUAGGAGGAACACCGGUUGCGAAGGCGGCUUUCUGGACAAUUACUGACGCUGAGAUGCGAAAGCGUGGGGAGCAAACAGGAUUAGAUACCCUUGUAGUC
Molecule: ribosomal RNA, 441 nt
Filed under: uncultured bacterium
Lineage: Bacteria
Description: partial 16S ribosomal RNA
Rfam family: Bacterial small subunit ribosomal RNA
Source: RNAcentral